RNAcentral lists this long non-coding RNA (981 nucleotides) under Homo sapiens (human). Its description in RNAcentral is "MIR7-3 host gene". Lineage: Eukaryota; Metazoa; Chordata; Mammalia; Primates; Hominidae. The record is from RNAcentral.
GAGGCGGAAUCCCAUUGGCCAGUUGGGGAAGCCCCUCCCAGGAUUCCUGGCGCUCCGCCUUCCCUGAAGCCUAUAAAAGCGCAGGUCCCCGCCUCGGCAGCCACGGGACACCUGCAUCUGCCAACAAGACUGGAAGCAGGCUGGUUUGCAGGUUGGCGCAUGGACAUUUUCCCAGAAAGGGACAGAGACGGCGAAGUUUGACGGUCUGGAAAGCAGAGACCAGCAGGGCUGACUGCUUGGGAGCACCAAAUAUCCGGACAGCGCCUCUCGGGAGGUCCGAGAAGAGAACCGCGAUCUGUUUCAGCACCGGGGCUCAGGACAGUUCCCAGCGGGCUCCGUUUCGUCUCCAGAACCCUGGACAGCUCCUCCAGACUUCGGUGAGAAACCUUGUGCCAAGCAUUUUACAUACAUCAUAUCAUGCCAUCUUCAACCCUAGGACAUGGGUGUUACUGUGCCCAUGUGACAUUUGGGGAACCCAAGGCCCUGAGAAAGGCAGAAAAAUAACCCACGCAGGGACUCUCAGCCCACAAGUGAAGCUGAGAACCGGGAAUGGAAAACAGGGAGGCAGCACAGAGGCAGGAAACUCAGGUGUCAUAGCUUGGCUCAGCUUGGAAUGCACUCCCUCCACCUCCAACCAGAGCUCCCCACAACUGACCCUGCCUUCUUCUGCAAGCUCCAUUUCAUCAAGGGAAACGAUCCUUAUUGCCUCACCAUUUCCCACGUGAAGUCUGUAUUGACAUUCUCAUAGACCUGGGAUAUUGUGUCUGCAGCACAUAGUCCAAUUAUUUUCAUGUUAUCUACUGACAGGUCUAUUUGUCUCCCUGUUACACUGUGAGCUCCGUGAGGGCAGAAACAAUGUUAGUAUUUUCACUGCUGUGUCCCCAGCGCCUGGUCCGGGGCCCGGCACACAGCAGGCAUAUAAUAAGCAUGUGUUGAAUCAAUAAAGGCAUCAAAGAAUAAACCAAUACAUCAAUCAAUAAA